Myotis davidii is the source of this 1032-nucleotide long non-coding RNA. RefSeq lists it as uncharacterized. The transcript has 5 exons. The record is from RefSeq and is a predicted model, not a curated record. NCBI's taxonomy places the organism in Eukaryota, Metazoa, Chordata, Mammalia, Chiroptera, Vespertilionidae.
GCGGCGACGGCGAGGCGCGCGACUGUCGCACCUCAGUGACGUCAAGCGCGUUGCCUGGAGACAGCGCCCGUCCUUCCCCAGAGCUGCGCCUUGGCUCACGUGGUCUGCUGCUCCUGGGGACCUGAGAGGGAAGACCCAGGCGGGGGCCGUGCCCAAGUGGAGGCCUCGCCGGGCAGGCUCCUGGAGGAGCCCUGGUAUCCCUUGAACAUGCAUACCUUUCCCAGAGAGAGGGACAUGGACCGCGCUGUGCGAGGGACCCCGUCUUCUGCAACAGGAGGGAACAGAGAGGAGAACUCAGGGCUCAUAAGGAUGGACCUGCUUGAGGAGCAGAGAGGGCAGGUCAAACUACCAGGCCUCAGUCUUCCUACCCAAACACACCUCAUCUGGACCCCUAUCUCUGGUUGCAGAAGUAAGGAAUGAACUGCCUGCUAGGAACACACAUUCGUUCUGCUGUGCUCCACCUGCUCCAAGAUUGAAAGGAACCUGCCUCCAGCAGAGGGCACUGGAGAGGGCCGGGGGGCAUCUCUUUCUCAAAGCUGCCUGAUCAAGCCAAUGCAAUCUAAAGUCAAGUUCAUAAAGAGAGGUCUUAACAAAAUUAGGUAAGUAAGGAUGAAGGAGGGGAAAGCAGGAAGGACACUGCUAUAGGUCAGUCUUCUUGACAACAGUUGACCUGCCCAAUUUAUUCCAUCCAAUCAAUAACUUCAUCCAACUUACGGUUUGGUAUGUCGGAAAGAGGUUUCUCAACCAGGUGUCCUGGGGCCACAUGAGGAUAACACCAACCAUAUUUUCUCUCCUUUACCUCCUUGGGAUUCUGGGUCUUGUAUCAUCAUUUAUUUAUUUUUCACAUCAUUCUGGGUGCAAUGUUCCACAGCCUCAGUAACUCUUUUAAUUCAACAAUGACAAAAAGUACGCAAAUAUCUGAGCACAUCCUCCAAGCAUGGAGAAAUGUCUACACUUCAGAAUUCACAAAUGCCCCAUUCAAUCCUUUUGUUUUUGUAACCUUGAACUUUCACAUUUAAAAUAAACCAUCUA